Acanthosepion pharaonis is the source of this 113-nucleotide non-coding RNA. The record is from the annotation of a GenBank genome assembly. NCBI's taxonomy places the organism in Eukaryota, Metazoa, Mollusca, Cephalopoda, Sepiida, Sepiidae.
UUACGGCCAAAUCACAUUGAAAAACCGGUUCUCGUACGAUCACCGAAGUUAAGCAACGUCGAGCUUGAUCAGUAACUAGAUGGAUGACCGCUUAGGAAGAACAGGUGCUGCAG